RNAcentral lists this ribosomal RNA (252 nucleotides) under uncultured bacterium. RNAcentral describes it as "partial 16S ribosomal RNA". It matches the Rfam family "Bacterial small subunit ribosomal RNA", at positions 524 to 776 of the family's 1533-position model. The record is from RNAcentral.
UACGAAGGGGGCUAGCGUUGCUCGGAAUCCCUGGGCGUAAAGGGUGCGUAGGCGGGUCUUUAAGUCAGGGGGGAAAUCCUGGAGCUCAACUCCAGAACUGCCUUUGAUACUGAAGAUCUUGAGUUCGGGAAAGGUGAGUGGAACUGCGAGUGUAGAGGUGAAAUUCGUAGAUAUUCGCAAGAACACCAGUGGCGAGGCGGCUCACUGGCCCGAUACUGACGCUGAGGCACGAAAGCGUGGGGAGCAAACAGG